AGUGAACGCUGGCGGCAGGCCUAACACAUGCAAGUCGAACGGCAGCACGGCAGUAGCAAUACUGUGGGUGGCGAGUGGCGGACGGGUGAGGAAUACAUCGGGAUCUACCCUGUUGUGGGGGAUAACGUAGGGAAACUUACGCUAAUACCGCAUAAGAACUGAGGUUGAAAGCGGCGGACCGCAAGGCGUCGCGCGAUUGGAUGAACCGAUGUCCGAUUAGCUAGUUGGCGGGGUAAAGGCCCACCAAGGCGACGAUCGGUAGCUGGUCUGAGAGGACGACCAGCCACACUGGAACUGAGACACGGUCCAGACUCCUACGGGAGGCAGCAGUGGGGAAUAUUGGACAAUGGGCGCAAGCCUGAUCCAGCCAUGCCGCGUGGGUGAAGAAGGCCUUCGGGUUGUAAAGACCCUUUGUUCCGGAAGAAAAGACAUCGGUUAAUACCCGGUGUUCUGACGGUACCGGAAGAAUAAG
Molecule: ribosomal RNA, 472 nt
Filed under: uncultured bacterium
Lineage: Bacteria
Description: bacterial SSU rRNA
Rfam family: Bacterial small subunit ribosomal RNA
Source: RNAcentral